This 302-nucleotide ribosomal RNA is filed under the name uncultured bacterium. RNAcentral describes it as "partial 16S ribosomal RNA". It matches the Rfam family "Bacterial small subunit ribosomal RNA", at positions 508 to 809 of the family's 1533-position model. The record is from RNAcentral.
GCAGCCGCCACGGUAAUACGUAGGUGGCGAGCGUUGUCCGGAAUCAUUGGGCGUAAAGGGAGCGCAGGCGGGCGUGUAAGUCUUUCUUAAAAGUGCGGGGCUCAACCCCGUGAUGGGAAAGAAACUACAUGUCUUGAGUACAGGAGAGGAAAGCGGAAUUCCCAGUGUAGCGGUGAAAUGCGUAGAUAUUGGGAGGAACACCAGUGGCGAAGGCGGCUUUCUGGAUUGCAACUGACGCUGAGGCUCGAAAGCCAGGGGAGCGAACAGGGUUAGAUACCCCAGUAGUCCCUGUCUCUUAUACA